RNAcentral lists this ribosomal RNA (253 nucleotides) under uncultured bacterium. Its description in RNAcentral is "partial 16S ribosomal RNA". It matches the Rfam family "Bacterial small subunit ribosomal RNA", at positions 524 to 776 of the family's 1533-position model. The record is from RNAcentral.
UACGUAGGUGGCAAGCGUUGUCCGGAUUUACUGGGCGUAAAGAGCGCGCAGGCGGUCGAAUAAGUCGAAUGUGAAAGCCCCCGGCUUAACUGGGGAGGGUCAUUCGAUACUGCUCGACUUGAAGGCAGGAGAGGGUAGUGGAAUUCCCGGUGUAGUGGUGAAAUGCGUAGAUAUCGGGAGGAACACCAGCGGCGAAGGCGGCCCCCUGGGCCGCUCCUGACGCUGAGACGCGAAGGCCAGGGUAGCGAACGGG